This 253-nucleotide ribosomal RNA is filed under the name uncultured bacterium. RNAcentral describes it as "partial 16S ribosomal RNA". It matches the Rfam family "Bacterial small subunit ribosomal RNA", at positions 524 to 776 of the family's 1533-position model. The record is from RNAcentral.
GACGAACCGUGCGAACGUUGUUCGGAAUCACUGGGCUUAAAGGGCGCGUAGGCGGAUUCUCAAGUCGGUGGUGAAAUCGUUCGGCUCAACCGGACAAGUGCCGCCGAUACUGGGGGUCUCGAGGGAGGUAGGGGUCGCGGGAACUGGUGGUGGAGCGGUGAAAUGCGUAGAUAUCACUAGGAACGCCGGUGGCGAAAGCGCGCGACUGGACCUCUUCUGACGCUGAGGCGCGAAAGCCAGGGGAGCAAACGGG